Molecule: ribosomal RNA, 253 nt
Filed under: uncultured bacterium
Lineage: Bacteria
Description: partial 16S ribosomal RNA
Rfam family: Bacterial small subunit ribosomal RNA
Source: RNAcentral
UACGUAGGGUCCGAGCGUUGUCCGGAGUGACUGGGCGUAAAGCGCGCGCAGGCGGCCCGCGAGGUGUCCUGUGAAAGCCCCGUGCUCAACGCGGGAGGGUCAGGGCAAACCGGCGGGCUUGAGGCCGGUAGAGGUGGGUGGAACUCCUGGUGGAGUGGUGAAAUGCGUAGAGAUCAGGAAGAACACCAGUGGCGAAGGCGGCUUACUGGUCCGGUUCUGACGCUGAGGCGCGAAAGCGUGGGGAGCAAACAGG